UUGUUGAUCAUGUAUGGGAUUAUACAGGUUUACAGGUUAUAUGUCAGGCUUGCUACGGGUCCCGGCGGCCUUAAGCCGAUCUGGAUCCUAGCGCCGGUAGCGGUCCGAUUUUCGGGUCGUUACAGAAUGGUAUCAGAGCCCUAGGUUCAUAUGGUCGGACCUAGAGUGUCGGGCUCAUAGAUGUUAGAGAAGGUCAAACACAAUAGGAAAGAUCAUGUCCACUAGGAUAGGAUGUGGAGUCCUGUCU
Molecule: long non-coding RNA, 247 nt
Filed under: Manihot esculenta (cassava)
Lineage: Eukaryota; Viridiplantae; Streptophyta; Magnoliopsida; Malpighiales; Euphorbiaceae
Description: long non-coding RNA (MESC_LNC003963)
Source: RNAcentral